UGAGUAACACGUAUCCAACCUGCCGUCUACUCUUGGACAGCCUUCUGAAAGGAAGAUUAAUACAAGAUGGCAUCAUGAGUUCACAUGUUCACAUGAUUAAAGGUAUUCCGGUAGACGAUGGGGAUGCGUUCCAUUAGAUAGUAGGCGGGGUAACGGCCCACCUAGUCUUCGAUGGAUAGGGGUUCUGAGAGGAAGGUCCCCCACAUUGGAACUGAGACAUGGUCCAA
RNAcentral lists this ribosomal RNA (227 nucleotides) under uncultured bacterium. RNAcentral describes it as "partial 16S ribosomal RNA". It matches the Rfam family "Bacterial small subunit ribosomal RNA", at positions 107 to 334 of the family's 1533-position model. The record is from RNAcentral.